Esox lucius (northern pike) is the source of this 222-nucleotide long non-coding RNA. RefSeq lists it as uncharacterized. Lineage: Eukaryota; Metazoa; Chordata; Actinopteri; Esociformes; Esocidae. The record is from RefSeq and is a predicted model, not a curated record. The transcript is spliced from 3 exons.
UGAGGGUCUCUAGGUUGUAAGUGUAUUAGUGUACUGAGGGUCUCUAGGUUGUAGGUGUAGUAGUGUACUGAGGGUCUCUAGGUUGUAGGUGUAGUAGUGUACUGAGGGUCUCUAGGUUGUAAGUGUAUUAGUGUACUGAGGGUCUCUAGGUUGUAGGUGUAGUAGUGUACUGAGGGUCUCUAGGUUGUAGGUGUAGUAGUGUACUGAGGGUCUCUAGGUUGU